Molecule: non-coding RNA, 1559 nt
Organism: Misgurnus anguillicaudatus (oriental weatherfish)
Lineage: Eukaryota; Metazoa; Chordata; Actinopteri; Cypriniformes; Cobitidae
Source: RefSeq, a predicted model, not a curated record
CUUUUGCAAAAACAAACAAAAAUAUACAUUGAUAAAAGAAAAAAACUAUCUGAAAAUAAAAACAAUCAACUAACUAGCAAAAAAAUUAACAUCAUCUUUAAAUAUACUGCAUUCUUUGUUUAUAGUUUUCUAAGUUUCACUUUCACUAAAUAUAGUUUUGAAUGUGCUGCAAAUGUUUUCGUUUUCACUUUCCAAGUUUUCGUUUGCGCUUCGCAAAUUUACGUUCUCCAUUUUGACACAAACCUCUCGUGAGGGACGGGCUUAACAGCGGUUCGCUCUUAUUGGCUUGUGAGAUUUUGAUUGACAGCUCAUUGAACCGGAACCCCGGAACAGAAGGUGGCGGUAGUGCACCAAUAAGCUGGAUCCCAACCGCUGUUAAAAAUAACAAGAAGAAGACGAUCGGACGCUGUUUAUCAGCAGAGCUGCAAGUAGUCUAAACAAACGGUAAUAAGAGUAUAUUAAAGAACAUUAUUGGUAAUACACGGAUAUUUUACACGUCAGCAGAGGAAUAACAAUAGUUCAAGAUGAGUAAUCGAGAGGCUCACGGUCCAGAGCAACAACACCAUCCUCCUCGGCCGGACAAUCGAGGCAGCCUGAGAAUUGAGCCUCUAUGGUGUGAUGUUUGGUCAGCUGUCUCUUGUACUAUGAAGAACUGCAAUGGAAGAAGAGACAGUGCUUGAUUCGGCAGGUGAACUGCACCUAUUUUAUGGUGGAGCAACUUUUUCAAGAGGAAAUUGUUGACAUUGUCACAGAGGAUGAUGGUGUGGUCGUGGUGCCAGAGAUCUAUUGUCCUUUGUCAGACCAAAAGCCUUUGAUAUCACCAUUGAAUGUCUAGGAGUUAUACCAACAGACACUUGAUGUCAUCCAAAGACUGUGCUCCAUUUAAAUUGUAAAAGUCAUUUUCAGGUUUACAAGAUACAAAAGCUGGUUCACAGAUGUACCUUUCCUUUAAAACUAUUUCCCACCUGUAAUCACAAUGGAGACACAUCUCUGACUGCUGGGCUUCCCCUCUUAUUGUGUUCGGAUUCAUAUGCAUCUGCAGGGUUAUUCAUGGCAACACUUUAUAGCGUUGUGCUGGUAAUUUAUCUUUAUAUAUCAUGCCUUCUCACUACAUCUGUCAGCCUGUGCUUUACAUAUCUGAGAGUCAACGCAGCUAAACAUGAAGGACAAAUGCAAUGCAAGAUGUUAUGCAUGUUAUAUAUCGGCAUAUGGAUGAUUAGAUUAGAAACUGCUUUCUGUUGGUGUGUUUAAACAUCACAUGACAUAGAAAAUUAACUGUCCUCCAUUUUCCUCCUUAGAUUUAAUUUGUACUUUAGACUUCAAUGGGUACACUCUCAUGUGUGCUUACCAUCAUUUAUCAAAAUAUCUUCUUGGCAGAAUAAAGAAACUUAUAUAGGUUUACAACAACAUGAGACUGAGUAAAUAAUAACAGAAUUUUCAUUUUUGUGUGAACUAUCCCUUUAAGACUCUGUAAACCAUUCAGAUGCAUGUAAAAUCAUUAACAACUGUUAAACAGCAUCUAUAAAUGAUAAAAAAAGACAUUACUAUUGGGAGAAACA